RNAcentral lists this ribosomal RNA (444 nucleotides) under uncultured bacterium. RNAcentral's name for it is "bacterial SSU rRNA". It matches the Rfam family "Bacterial small subunit ribosomal RNA", at positions 47 to 480 of the family's 1533-position model. The record is from RNAcentral.
CCUAACACAUGCAAGUCGAACGGUAACAGGAAGAAGCUUGCUUCUUUGCUGACGAGUGGCGGACGGGUGAGUAAUGUCUGGGAAACUGCCUGAUGGAGGGGGAUAACUACUGGAAACGGUAGCUAAUACCGCAUAACGUCGCAAGACCAAAGAGGGGGACCUUCGGGCCUCUUGCCAUCGGAUGUGCCCAGAUGGGAUUAGCUAGUAGGUGGGGUAACGGCUCACCUAGGCGACGAUCCCUAGCUGGUCUGAGAGGAUGACCAGCCACACUGGAACUGAGACACGGUCCAGACUCCUACGGGAGGCAGCAGUGGGGAAUAUUGCACAAUGGGCGCAAGCCUGAUGCAGCCAUGCCGCGUGUAUGAAGAAGGUCUUCGGGUUGUAAAGUACUUUCAGCGGGGAGGAAGGGAGUAAAGUUAAUACCUUUGCUCAUUGACGUUACCC